GCGGGUGUGGUGCAGGUUGCACAGCUGCCCUUCAUAGACCAUUGGUUUGCAGGCAAGUAGUCCUUUCCGGGUUCGACUCCCGACGCCCGCU
This is a non-coding RNA of Mycena crocata, 91 nucleotides long. NCBI's taxonomy places the organism in Eukaryota, Fungi, Basidiomycota, Agaricomycetes, Agaricales, Mycenaceae. The record is from the annotation of a GenBank genome assembly.